GAUCCUGGCUCAGGACGAACGCUGGCGGCAUGCCUAACACAUGCAAGUCGAACGGAGAUAUUUGGAAGCUUGCUUUUGGAUAUCUUAGUGGCGGACGGGCGAGUAACNCGUGAGCAACCUGGCCUUCAGAGUGGAACAACGUCUGGAAACGGGCGCUAAUACCGCAUAAUACAAGAGAGUCGCAUGGCUUUUUGUCAAAGGAGAAAUCCGCUGAAGGAUGGGCUCGCGUCCGAUUAG
Molecule: ribosomal RNA, 237 nt
Filed under: uncultured bacterium
Lineage: Bacteria
Description: partial 16S ribosomal RNA
Rfam family: Bacterial small subunit ribosomal RNA
Source: RNAcentral